UACGUAGGGGGCUAGCGUUGUCCGGAAUCAUUGGGCGUAAAGCGCGCGUAGGCGGUCAGGUAAGUCCGGUGUGAAAGUCAAAGGCUCAACCUUUGAAUGCCGCUGGACACUGCUUGACUUGAGUCCGGAAGGGGCGAGUGGAAUUCCUGGUGUAGCGGUGAAAUGCGUAGAUAUCUGGAGGAACACCGGUGGCGAAGGCGACAUCCUGGACCAACACUGACGCUGAGUGAGCGAAAGCCAGGGGAGCAAACGGG
RNAcentral lists this ribosomal RNA (254 nucleotides) under uncultured bacterium. RNAcentral describes it as "partial 16S ribosomal RNA". It matches the Rfam family "Bacterial small subunit ribosomal RNA", at positions 524 to 776 of the family's 1533-position model. The record is from RNAcentral.